CUUCACCGACCCCAGCCACAGCGGCCGGCCCGGGGACCGGUCCCGCCCGUACGUCGCCAGCAGCGCCUGCGCCUC
Streptomyces rubellomurinus is the source of this 75-nucleotide non-coding RNA. It matches the Rfam family "ASpks TB sRNA". NCBI's taxonomy places the organism in Bacteria, Bacillati, Actinomycetota, Actinomycetes, Kitasatosporales, Streptomycetaceae. The record is from Rfam.